Long non-coding RNA from Equus caballus (horse), 3159 nucleotides. Lineage: Eukaryota; Metazoa; Chordata; Mammalia; Perissodactyla; Equidae. The record is from Ensembl.
GCCUUUUAGAGCCAUUUAGUUACCUUGGAGAAACAGGAAUUUGUAGGGAAAGUGAUCCUGCUUUAGAGAUGUCUCCUUAAAGUAAUGUAAUGAUCUGGACUUGCUCAUGUCAAUUUUGGUAAAAGGUAUUUUGUUUAUUAGGGAUAAGAACAGUCUUUGAAGCCUGAAUUUCCCCCAAUUUUUGUUUAUUACUAUAAAGAAAUAUAAUAUUGGGUAUCUUGUAGUAUAGAGGACGUUUAAGUGAAUAGAUAGGCUCUUGAACAGUUACAGUCAUGUUUUCACCAAGAAACAGUAAGAUAGACUGAAGGCAAUAGAAGUGAUUGGGCAUGUUGGAGGAAAAGAGAAAGCAAUCAACAGCAACUUUUAAAAUAAUUUAUAGGAACUGUUUAGAGUCCUUGAUCAGAAUAGAAUCUCAUAACUCUAGGGUAGAUUGCAUCAUUUCCUUUUUUUCCCCCAGAAGAAGUGAGGUCCAACGUCAUGUGGCCAUUUAUCAGCCGAGCUGGCUCUUCCCUACUCUGCGGAGCUAAGGGCCCCCUGUACUAUGAGAUUCAUUUUCCUGAGCUGUGUACCAGGGAGCUUGAAUGUAUAAGGCUUGGUUGGAGUCCUUGAUUUGCUGCAUGAUUCUAAGAUUGUGAUGCUCAUCGUAAGUUUAGAGCAGUAUCCCCAUUAUAUAUUAGGUACCUGUGUGAGCAAGGUGGGUCUGGUUUUCCAGUGGCCAAUUUCCAGUGGCCAUUUACUGCAUCCCUGGUUCUCCUCUUCCUUGAGUGUACUACAAGGGUCUGAUGCGGACAUCUGUUUUUACUGGUGACUUGCUGCUUUAUUAUAGUUUGGAUUUUCAUUGCAAUCAUUUCUUGAUUAUGUUUUUAGAAUGGAUCAGUGAUAUUCUAGUCUGAAGUGAACAUAGUCCAAAAGUCACUUGUUUAGUUUUGCAGUUAAAAAUAUUUCCAAACCAAUGUUAGUCACAUUCCCUCCUUCUUAUUCACACGAAACUUCUUUUCCCCGUGACUUGGAGCCAUCAUGAUUGAUUGUCUUUCCCAUUUCUGUCCUUGCAGUCUUAGUAUUUAUGGCUGUUUUCCUCUGCUAGGCUAUGGGUUCCUUAAGGGCCGGAGCCAUGUCACAUGUCACUGUGUUCCUAGUACCUAACAGUAGGCUAGGUAUGCAGUAACUCUUCAGCAAAUAUUUUAAAAAUGUAAUGCCGUGGCUUUCCUGUGUUUGCUUUUUUAUAGCGCAGUUCCCUUCCUCACUGGUGGUGGUGGUGGAAUUUCUUCUUAGACUUCUUACUGUUUUUUACUCACUAGGAUAGAAACCAGCUUGUCCAAGGGUAUGGAAUGGAAUGGGGUAGGAAUAUGAUGUAAUGAGCUUUUUGUAAACAGACUGAUCAGGUUUUAAAUCCCAGCUCUGCCCUUCUCUAGCUGUGAGAUUGUGGAUUUGUGACUUACAAACUGCUUCUGUGUUUGUAAAAGGGUUUGGUUCACUAAAUGAAAUAAUGGUUAACUAACACCCAGUCCAGUGGAUGCCCAUAGGUGGCAGCUUUUCCUCUUCCACUGUGACAAGUACGGUUAAAUAGGUAUUUCAUGAGCCUGAAGAAAGCGCCAUUCUCUACAUGGUCUUUGAAAUAGUUAUUGUGACCUCCUUCUAGAGGUUGGUCCUGCUUAAUCCUUGACUCUUAGUUGAAGUCACCUGAAAAGAGAAUCCCAUUUGUAAACAAUGAUACUGCUGUGAAUAUGACAAGAAGAUUUAAGUAACCUGAAUGAUUUCCUUCCCUGAUUAUAUGCCAGGGGAUGCUUGCAGGGAAAUAUCAAGAAAAAAAUGUAUUGAAAGGAAUCACAAGCAUUUCAUGAAUAAUCCACACGGUGUUCCUGAAUUGACAGAGUGCCGUGUCUGUGACUGUUUGUAGAUGCUGUGCUGUAAUCUGCUAAAGUCAGUAUGUGAUUACAAAUAAAUGACCAGAAGUAUUUGUCUACAAAGGAGACUCAGGGUGUUGUGCACUCACUAAAGAUCAAGUGUAAGUUUCCAGGGAAAGGGCUUGCUUGUUUGCACCUUCCGUUUUAGUCUGGUGAUGGUUUAGGUGCAGCGAGGCACACAGGGGUGGAUGCUUGGACUUAAAGACCACCUUUUGAAUUGUUUGGCAUAAACAACCGUUGUUUUUCUUCUGCAGGAUCUUUUUUUCCAGUCCCAUAAGCGAAGAGGGAAAAAUAUUUAAAUUGCAUAAUUAAGGAAUUUAGAUUGUUAUAUUUCAUAUUAAAAAGUAAUACUAAUAGCUUUUGUAAAGGUAUAUCAAGAGAAUCAUUUUUUAAAAACUCAUUUUCAUUGAGUUUUUACUAGGUGUCUUUUGCCAAAUUUAUCUAGUUCGUAAAUAUAAACACUUGUCAUAUGUUAAUGUUUAUUAUAUCUGAAUAAUACAAAGACUUAAAUAGUGCUCUAAAAGUUUUCCAUGGCCAUUGAAUUUCCAACAAUUUUUAGGCCUGCUGGAUUUAUUUUUUAAGUUAGUGUUUCAGUUUAAAGUUUUGCUCUUUGUUAAAAAAUAGGAAACUUAGAAAAACAGGUAAAGUGGCAGUUCGUCAUGUCCCAGGGCCCUUCUCACAGCUCGCCACCCCCGCAUUCCAAGUCAUUAUCUAGUUUCUGAAUAUGGCAUUGCAACCCUGAUUGAUUUAUUUUUUUUUUUACUGUUCUGCACUAAAGCAUUUGAGAUAAGUUCUUAGUGUUGAGGAAAUCCUGAAUCCUAUUGCCAGGGGGUUAAAAGAAAUACAGCGACAGGCUAUGAAAUAGGGUUGUCAUAACUUAUCAGUGGCUAGUAAAUAGGGUAGUUGCCUUCUGACACCAUUUUGAGUGAAGGCAGUUUAAUUGCAUUGCCUCUGUUAAGAUAAGCAUUUGGGAUCCAUAGUCAAAUGUGUGAAUGCUGUGGUUAAAGUAUUUCCAUUAUAUAAGAUCUGAUUUCUUAAGUGAUUUUUCUUUCUAAGUUCCACUUUACAUUAAGUUAUUUGGACAGUGUCUUUCACUGUGUGUGUGCAUGGAGAAACGUCACCUACAAAUGUAUGUAAAUUCAGUGACUGUGAAAAAUUGGAAAUUUGCAAACACAUGAUUGACAGUUGGUGAUUUACCCCCAUGUGUCACUACCUCCCUCACCCCCCAAAGCCUGUGAAAACAAUUAAACAGUUC